This 449-nucleotide ribosomal RNA is filed under the name uncultured Frankiaceae bacterium. RNAcentral's name for it is "bacterial SSU rRNA". It matches the Rfam family "Bacterial small subunit ribosomal RNA", at positions 336 to 797 of the family's 1533-position model. Lineage: Bacteria; Bacillati; Actinomycetota; Actinomycetes; Frankiales; Frankiaceae. The record is from RNAcentral.
UUCCUACGGGAGGCUGCAGUGGGGAAUAUUGCGCAAUGGGCGAAAGCCUGACGCAGCGACGCCGCGUGAGGGACGACGGCCUUCGGGUUGUAAACCUCUUUCAGCAGGGACGAAGCGAAAGUGACGGUACCUGCAGAAGAAGCACCGGCCAACUACGUGCCAGCAGCCGCGGUAAUACGUAGGGUGCAAGCGUUGUCCGGAAUUAUUGGGCGUAAAGAGCUCGUAGGCGGUCUGUCACGUCGGAUGUGAAAACUCGGGGCUCAACCCCGAGCCUGCAUUCGAUACGGGCAGACUUGAGUUCGGCAGGGGAGACUGGAAUUCCUGGUGUAGCGGUGAAAUGCGCAGAUAUCAGGAGGAACACCGGUGGCGAAGGCGGGUCUCUGGGCCGAUACUGACGCUGAGGAGCGAAAGCGUGGGGAGCGAACAGGAUUAGAUACCCUGGUAGUCUG